RNAcentral lists this ribosomal RNA (664 nucleotides) under uncultured Lachnospiraceae bacterium. RNAcentral's name for it is "bacterial SSU rRNA". It matches the Rfam family "Bacterial small subunit ribosomal RNA", at positions 65 to 741 of the family's 1533-position model. Lineage: Bacteria; Bacillati; Bacillota; Clostridia; Lachnospirales; Lachnospiraceae. The record is from RNAcentral.
UGCUUAGAUUCUUCGGAUGAAGAGGAUUGUGACUGAGCGGCGGACGGGUGAGUAACGCGUGGGUAACCUGCCUCAUACAGGGGGAUAACAGUUAGAAAUGACUGCUAAUACCGCAUAAGACCACAGCACCGCAUGGUGCGGGGGUAAAAACUCCGGUGGUAUGAGAUGGACCCGCGUCUGAUUAGCUAGUUGGUAAGGUAACGGCUUACCAAGGCGACGAUCAGUAGCCGACCUGAGAGGGUGACCGGCCACAUUGGGACUGAGACACGGCCCAAACUCCUACGGGAGGCAGCAGUGGGGAAUAUUGCACAAUGGGGGAAACCCUGAUGCAGCGACGCCGCGUGAGCGAAGAAGUAUUUCGGUAUGUAAAGCUCUAUCAGCAGGGAAGAAAAUGACGGUACCUAACUAAGAAGCACCGGCUAAAUACGUGCCAGCAGCCGCGGUAAUACGUAUGGUGCAAGCGUUAUCCGGAUUUACUGGGUGUAAAGGGAGCGUAGACGGAUGGGCAAGUCUGAUGUGAAAACCCGGGGCUCAACCCCGGGACUGCAUUGGAAACUGUUCAUCUAGAGUGCUGGAGAGGUAAGUGGAAUUCCUAGUGUAGCGGUGAAAUGCGUAGAUAUUAGGAGGAACACCAGUGGCGAAGGCGGCUUACUGGACAGUAACU